Molecule: long non-coding RNA, 321 nt
Filed under: Mytilus galloprovincialis (Mediterranean mussel)
Lineage: Eukaryota; Metazoa; Mollusca; Bivalvia; Mytilida; Mytilidae
Source: RNAcentral
AUAAUACGAGUUUUAACUUUCAUUCAUCUCUCAACAAUUCUUUUUAAAUUAUUUAAAAAAAGGAUUUUACAUGUUUCACACAAAGCAGAAGAGCGAUGAAGAUUCUUACCUUUUUCCUCUUAUUGUGUCUAAUGUCGUUGACUAAAAUUUAUAUUCUUUUACUUAAAGUUCUUUUUUUUUCCUAUCAAUACGUUCGCAGUAUGAAAAAUCUAGAGGUGAUACGAUUAGUAUUUCAAAAGAAAUAAUUGAUUAGCUGUGUGAAUUGUGUCACACAUCAUGCACACGACCUCAUAUGAUUUUUUAAAAACUAUCCUUUCAUCG